RNAcentral lists this ribosomal RNA (408 nucleotides) under uncultured bacterium. RNAcentral describes it as "partial 16S ribosomal RNA". It matches the Rfam family "Bacterial small subunit ribosomal RNA", at positions 28 to 526 of the family's 1533-position model. The record is from RNAcentral.
GACGAACGCUGGCGGCGUGCUUAACACAUGCAAGUCGAACGAAGUGGCGAACGGGUGAGUAACGCGUAAUCAACCUGCCCUUCAGAGGGGGACAACAGUUGGAAACGACUGCUAAUACCGCUUACUUACGGAGGGGAUUGCGUCUGAUUAGCUAGUGGGAGGGGUAACGGCCCACCAAGGCGAUGAUCAGUAGCCGGUCUGAGAGGAUGAACGGCCACAUUGGGACUGAGACACGGCCCAGACUCCUACGGGAGGCAGCAGUGGGGAAUCUUCCGCAAUGGACGAAAGUCUGACGGAGCAACGCCGCGUGAGUGAUGACGGCCUUCGGGUUGUAAAGCUCUGUUAAUCGGGACGCGGUACCGGAAGAGAAAGCAACGGCUAACUACGUGCCAGCAGCCGCGGUAAUAG